UGCAAGUCGAACGGUAACAGGUCUUCGGAUGCUGACGAGUGGCGAACGGGUGAGUAAUACAUCGGAACGUGCCCAGUCGUGGGGGAUAACUACUCGAAAGAGUAGCUAAUACCGCAUACGAUCUGAGGAUGAAAGCGGGGGACCUUCGGGCCUCGCGCGAUUGGAGCGGCCGAUGGCAGAUUAGGUAGUUGGUGGGAUAAAAGCUUACCAAGCCGACGAUCUGUAGCUGGUCUGAGAGGACGACCAGUCACACUGGGACUGAGACACGGCCCAGACUCCUACGGGAGGCAGCAGUGGGGAAUUUUGGACAAUGGGCGAAAGCCUGAUCCAGCAAUGCCGCGUGCAGGAUGAAGGCCUUCGGGUUGUAAACUGCUUUUGUACGGAACGAAAAAGCUCCUUCUAAUACAGGGGGCCCAUGACGGUACCGUAAGAAUAAGCACCGGCUAACUACGCGCCAGCAGCCGCGGUAAUACGUAGGGUGCGAGCGUUAAUCGGAAUUACUGGGCGUAAAGCGUGCGCAGGCGGUUAUAUAAGACAGAUGUGAAAUCCCCGGGCUCAACCUGGGAACUGCAUUUGUGACUGUAUAGCUAGAGUACGGCAGAGGGGGAUGGAAUUCCGCGUGUAGCAGUGAAAUGCGUAGAUAUGCGGAGGAACACCGAUGGCGAGGCAAUCCCC
This 675-nucleotide ribosomal RNA is filed under the name uncultured bacterium. RNAcentral's name for it is "bacterial SSU rRNA". It matches the Rfam family "Bacterial small subunit ribosomal RNA", at positions 56 to 729 of the family's 1533-position model. The record is from RNAcentral.